This 422-nucleotide long non-coding RNA is filed under the name Androctonus crassicauda. Lineage: Eukaryota; Metazoa; Arthropoda; Arachnida; Scorpiones; Buthidae. The record is from RNAcentral.
UAAAUAAACCAUUCACAGUACUACUUGGCAGUUAGAGUACAAAUAACAUUCAUUUAUUGAUUAUGAUAGAUAGUAUUUAUUUAUACUAUGAUAGAGUUAGGCAGUAAAUAUCCAAGAAUUAUGAACACUCCUUUUUAUCGCAGUGAAUUUGCCUAUCAGUCAGGCAAAUUAUUGAUUAUUGAUUGAAAAUGCUUUCCAUGAGGUUGUGCCACUCAUUGAGAGAGCAGUUGGAUUACAAGGAAGUUUCCUUAGAAGCAUUUCUUGAUGUCCAAGGGGAAUUAGAUUUGACUUAUUUCAAGCAAAUUAUCUUUGUAGCAAAUGGACUUGCAAUUUAUUCAACAAUUGUUCAUUGGAUUGGUUUCAUGCUGAAGUACAGAAUUGUUUAUAGUACACUCUAUGAGGAGGAAGUUAAGAUGUUCACA